This 491-nucleotide ribosomal RNA is filed under the name uncultured bacterium. RNAcentral's name for it is "partial 16S ribosomal RNA". It matches the Rfam family "Bacterial small subunit ribosomal RNA", at positions 29 to 507 of the family's 1533-position model. The record is from RNAcentral.
AGUGAACGCUGGCGGUAGGCCUAACACAUGCAAGUCGAACGGCAGCACAGUAAGAGCUUGCUCUUACGGGUGGCGAGUGGCGGACGGGUGAGGAAUACAUCGGAAUCUACUUUUUCGUGGGGGAUAACGUAGGGAAACUUACGCUAAUACCGCAUACGACCUACGGGUGAAAGCAGGGAUCUUCGGACCUUGCGCGAUUGAAUGAGCCGAUGUCGGAUUAGCUAGUUGGCGGGGUAAAGGCCCACCAAGGCGACGAUCCGUAGCUGGUCUGAGAGGAUGAUCAACCACACUGGAACUGAGACACGGUCCAGACUCCUACGGGAGGCAGCAGUGGGGAAUAUUGGACAAUGGGCGCAAGCCUGAUCCAGCCAUACCGCGUGGGUGAAGAAGGCCUUCGGGUUGUAAAGCCCUUUUGUUGGGAAAGAAAAGCAGCAGGUUAAUACCCCGCUGUUCUGACGGUACCCAAAGAAUAAGCACCGGCUAACUUCGUG